This 484-nucleotide ribosomal RNA is filed under the name uncultured bacterium. Its description in RNAcentral is "partial 16S ribosomal RNA". It matches the Rfam family "Bacterial small subunit ribosomal RNA", at positions 30 to 507 of the family's 1533-position model. The record is from RNAcentral.
AUUGAACGCUGGCGGCAUGCCUUACACAUGCAAGUCGAACGGUAACAGGUCUUUCGGGAUGCUGACGAGUGGCGAACGGGUGAGUAAUACAUCGGAACGUGCCUAGUAGUGGGGGGUAACUACUCGAAAGAGUGGCUAAUACCGCAUGAGAUCUAUGGAUGAAAGCAGGGGACCUUUGGGCCUUGUGCUACUAGAGCGGCCGAUGGCAGAUUAGGUAGUUGGUGGGAUAAAAGCUUACCAAGCCUACGAUCUGUAGCUGGUCUGAGAGGACGAUCAGCCACACUGGGACUGAGACACGGCCCAGACUCCUACGGGAGGCAGCAGUGGGGAAUUUUGGACAAUGGGCGCAAGCCUGAUCCAGCAAUGCCGCGUGCAGGAUGAAGGCCUUCGGGUUGUAAACUGCUUUUGUACGGAACGAAAAGUCUUGGGUUAAUACCCUGGGAUCAUGACGGUACCGUAAGAAUAAGCACCGGCUAACUACGUG